AUGAAGUCGGAAUCGCUAGUAAUCGUGGAUCAGAAUGCCACGGUGAAUACGUUCCCGGGCCUUGUACACACCGCCCGUCACACCAUGGGAGUGGGUUGCAAAAGAAGUAGGUAGCUUAACCUUCGGGAGGGCGCUUACCACUUUGUGAUUCAUGACUGGGGUGAAGUCGUAACAAGGUAACCGUAGGGGAACCUGCGGUUGGAUCACCUCCUUACCUKAAAGAAGC
RNAcentral lists this ribosomal RNA (226 nucleotides) under Salmonella enterica subsp. enterica serovar Infantis. Its description in RNAcentral is "partial 16S ribosomal RNA". Lineage: Bacteria; Pseudomonadati; Pseudomonadota; Gammaproteobacteria; Enterobacterales; Enterobacteriaceae. The record is from RNAcentral.